GACGAACGCUGGCGGCGUGCUUAACACAUGCAAGUCGAACGAUGAAGCUGGAGCUUGCUCCGGUGGAUUAGUGGCGAACGGGUGAGUAACACGUGAGAAAUCUGCCCUUGACUCUGGGAUAACUGCGGGAAACUGUAGCUAAUACCGGAUACUUUCCUCGGUGGGCAUCCACUGGGGAAGAAAGAAUUUCGGUCAAGGAUGAUCUCGCGGCCUAUCAGCUAGUUGGUGAGGUAAUGGCUCACCAAGGCGACGACGGGUAGCCGGCCUGAGAGGGUGACCGGCCACACUGGGGCUGCGACACGGCCCAGACUCCUACGGGAGGCAGCAGUGGGGAAUAUUGCACAAUGGGCGCAAGCCUGAUGCAGCAACGCCGCGUGAGGGAUGAAGGCCUUCGGGUUGUAAACCUCUUUUAGCAGGGAAGAAGCGAAAGUGGCGGUACCUGCAGAAAAAGCACCGGCUAACUACGUGCCAGCCGCCGCAGUAA
Molecule: ribosomal RNA, 484 nt
Filed under: uncultured bacterium
Lineage: Bacteria
Description: partial 16S ribosomal RNA
Rfam family: Bacterial small subunit ribosomal RNA
Source: RNAcentral